Stegostoma tigrinum is the source of this 975-nucleotide long non-coding RNA. RefSeq lists it as uncharacterized. The transcript is spliced from 3 exons. Lineage: Eukaryota; Metazoa; Chordata; Chondrichthyes; Orectolobiformes; Stegostomatidae. The record is from RefSeq and is a predicted model, not a curated record.
CACACAGAGAGAGAGAGAGAGGAAUGGAACAAAGCACCAGGCUAAUGUCUUUUCCUUGGUCGAUCAGCUCAAACAGACCCUCCAAAAAUCAAAAUAGAUGAACUGCAUCCACAGAACAGACCCUGGCAGAAACACAGAUAUCGUGCAAAAGAGAAAGCCAGGCUUGAAAAUCUUCCAGGAAAUAAACACAAGAAAAUUCAGGCAGAGGGAGAGAGAGAGAGAGAGAUAAGGGAAAAAGAGAGAGAAAACCCUGAUGUCAUUGAGCCCAGGGCAGGAUCAUGUUUUAUUUAUCCACCUCCUUAAAGCGAGGGCGUCUCAUCUUGCAGCUCUUAACAGGAGCUCCUCCAUUCUUUGCCCCUUUCCUGAACGAUCAGACUAUGGGUUUGCAGUUGCUGGACUUCACCAGAGCAGUGUGACACUGAAGGGGAGGCACAGCUUUACCCUCUCGGAUGACCCAAUGCUGUGAAAGCCACGCCUCGUUGGCACACCGAGUAGGGGUUUGAACAAUCCCGUGUUUAAUAUUGCGGCUCUUAAAGCGCACGCCGGGCGGAUCGAUUUCGGCUCAAGAUUCAACAACCAUCUGCAUUUAUGGAAUGCCUUUAAUGUCAUAAAGCAAGAUGGUACUGCAAGAAAGAAAAUUUGGAUUUCAAGAUUUUCCUCAUCCUGGAUGAUGUGCCAAGCCAUCCAUCCAGCAUUGGCGAGAUUCCUGAAACCCUAUGAACAGCUGUUUCAUGAAAGAAGAAAAAGAGCAAAGCAUCAAAAACUGGAUGUCUUUUUUAAGCCAACCGCCAAGAAACAGUCAGAAGACAAUGACCCAUAGCCACUCACUUCUGAAUUAAUUAUUUUUCACCCUAACCCUUCAACCACAAAUGUAACUGAAGGUGAUGAGGAUGAUGGUGGUGACCCUCAGUCCCUGCAUUAACAACAGAGCAACCUCAAAACUUCCUCCCCUAUCAAGUCAUCUGCAGAUUUUUU